GACGAACCGUGCGAACGUUAUUCGGAAUCACUGGGCUUAAAGCGCGUGUAGGCGGGCCGCCACGUCGGCUGCUGAAAUCCCCCGGCUCAACCGGGGAACGGGCACCGAUACGAGCGGCCUCGAGGGGGGUAGGGGGGUCUGGAACUUCCGGUGGAGCGGUGAAAUGCGUUGAGAUCGGAAGGAACGCCCGUGGCGAAGGCGAUCACCUGGGGUUAUUCUGACGCUGAGGAGCGAAAGCUAGGGGAGCAAACGGG
This 254-nucleotide ribosomal RNA is filed under the name uncultured prokaryote. Its description in RNAcentral is "partial 16S ribosomal RNA". It matches the Rfam family "Bacterial small subunit ribosomal RNA", at positions 524 to 776 of the family's 1533-position model. The record is from RNAcentral.